Molecule: non-coding RNA, 84 nt
Filed under: Peptostreptococcus russellii
Lineage: Bacteria; Bacillati; Bacillota; Clostridia; Peptostreptococcales; Peptostreptococcaceae
Source: RNAcentral
AUAAAAAGGGGAGCUCGGAAGGGCUGAGAGUAGCGAAAGCUUUACCCAUAACCUGAUUUGGAUAACGCCAACGUAGGGAAAUCU